Molecule: ribosomal RNA, 382 nt
Filed under: Spirogyra juergensii
Lineage: Eukaryota; Viridiplantae; Streptophyta; Zygnematophyceae; Spirogyrales; Spirogyraceae
Also listed under: 1 other name
Description: SSU rRNA
Rfam family: Eukaryotic small subunit ribosomal RNA
Source: RNAcentral
CCAGCUCCAAUAGCGUAUAUUUAAGUUGUUGCAGUUAAAAAGCUCGUAGUUGGAUUUCGGGAGUGAGACGUCGGUCGCCCGCUCGCGGUCGAUACUGGCGCUCUUCCUUAUCUGCCUCGGCGCCCGCCUGGCCUUCGUUGGUCGGGCGGCGUCCGCGGCGUUGUUACCUUGAAUAAAUUAUGGUGUUCAAAGCAGGCAACCGCUGUGAGUACAUUAGCAUGGAAUAACGGAAUAGGACUCCGGUCCCGUUCUCGUUGGUCUCCGCACCGGAGUAAUGAUUAACAGGGACGGUCGGGGGCAUUCGUACUCCGAUGUUAGAGGUGAAAUUCUUGGAUCAUCGGAAGACGAACUUCUGCGAAAGCAUUUGCCAAGGAUGUUUUCA